UUGUUUUGGCAACAGAUACGCUAAAACUGAAACGAUACAGAGAAAAUGAGCACCGGCCCUGUGCAAGGUUAUCACACAAAUUUGUGAAACAUUCCAUAUAGUU
Small nuclear RNA from Hippopotamus amphibius kiboko, 103 nucleotides. The record is from RefSeq and is a predicted model, not a curated record. NCBI's taxonomy places the organism in Eukaryota, Metazoa, Chordata, Mammalia, Artiodactyla, Hippopotamidae.